UUGGUGUUCACGUAGAGCUUGGGCCCGAAAAAACUGAACUGCAAAGAAGGCGUACUUCUCUGCUUACGUUGUGGACCGAGGGGCAGAUCACUGAACACUGGGGCCCACUGUCUCGGUAACUGGAAUUCCAGAAACUGAUGGAGCUCUUCGAUUGGCGGUUUAUCUCGUAAGUAGAGAUUUAUGGCGUGACUCAAGUAUCCACUUCCUGAAACGCCAUUCAGCAAUGAGGUUAUUGGAAUGAAGGACAUUGUGAUGACGUCAGGCUCUAACUGUACGCUAUGCAAC
RNAcentral lists this long non-coding RNA (285 nucleotides) under Helianthus annuus (common sunflower). RNAcentral's name for it is "sRNA HanXRQr2_Chr09g0375821". Lineage: Eukaryota; Viridiplantae; Streptophyta; Magnoliopsida; Asterales; Asteraceae. The record is from RNAcentral.